UUAUAGUAUUGAAGAAAUACUUUCGCGAGAUUUCAAUUUGGGAUGAAAACACCAUUUAUGAGCCUAUGAGGUGCAACUGAAAAAUAAGGGAGAACUGGUAUGGUCUACUCAACCCAAAACGCAGCACCUGCUCAGAACAAGGAAGAGUCUCAUGUCCUAAAACAAAGGGCUAUGGAAUCAGGUCUGAGAGCAGGUACAGGCUUGCUGAAGAUUGAGAUUAGAAAAGAAAUGCUGAAGGAAAGGGAAAGCAAGAAGGAAGGAAGGAAGAGGAGAAGAAAGAAAUAGGAAGAGAGGGAAGGAAGGAGAGAGGAAGAAACUGAUGUACCAGAAAUAUUUUCUUCUUCUGAACAGGAAUGUAUAUAAUGCAGAGAUGGAACAAUUUAAAGAAGGAAGGUGUCUAUCGAGAAAAACACAUCACAAUUAUCUCUGGUUAUUGUGAUUCUCUAAAUGAUGUGAAGUAAAGCCUGGGCUUUGUACUAAUCAUUCUGUU
RNAcentral lists this long non-coding RNA (490 nucleotides) under Fukomys damarensis (Damara mole-rat). RNAcentral describes it as "lncRNA (ENSFDAG00000031346.1)". Lineage: Eukaryota; Metazoa; Chordata; Mammalia; Rodentia; Bathyergidae. The record is from RNAcentral.